AUCCUUCGGGUGAAGGUGGCGGACGGGUGAGUAACGCGUAAAGAACUUGCCUUACAGACUGGGACAACAUUUGGAAACGAAUGCUAAUACCGGAUAUUAUGACUGAGUCGCAUGAUUUAGUUAUGAAAGCUAUAUGCGCUGUGAGAGAGCUUUGCGUCCCAUUAGUUAGUUGGUGAGGUAACGGCUCACCAAGACGAUGAUGGGUAGCCGGCCUGAGAGGGUGAACGGCCACAAGGGGACUGAGACACGGCCCUUACUCCUACGGGAGGCAGCAGUGGGGAAUAUUGGACAAUGGACCAAAAGUCUGAUCCAGCAAUUCUGUGUGCACGAUGAAGUUUUUCGGAAUGUAAAGUGCUUUCAGUUGGGAAGAAGUCAGUGACGGUACCAACAGAAGAAGCGACGGCUAAAUACGUGCCAGCAGCCGCGGUAAUACGUAUGUCGCAAGCGUUAUCCGGAUUUAUUGGGCGUAAAGCGCGUCCAGGCGGUUUAGUAAGUCUGAUGUGAAAAUGCGGGGCUCAACCCCGUAUUGCGUUGGAAACUGCUAAACUAGAGUACUGGAGAGGUAGGCGGAACUACAAGUGUAGAGGUGAAAUUCGUAGAUAUUUGUAGGAAUGCCGAUGGGGAAGCCAGCCUACUGGACAGAUACUGACGCUAAAGCGCGAAAGCGUGGGUAGCAAACAGGAUUAGAUACCCUGGUAGUCCACGCCGUAAACGAUGAUUACUAGGUGUUGGGGGUCGAACCUCAGCGCCCAAGCUAACGCGAUAAGUAUCCGCCUGGGGAGUACGUACGCAAGUAUG
This 798-nucleotide ribosomal RNA is filed under the name uncultured Fusobacteriota bacterium. RNAcentral's name for it is "bacterial SSU rRNA". It matches the Rfam family "Bacterial small subunit ribosomal RNA", at positions 80 to 896 of the family's 1533-position model. The record is from RNAcentral. Lineage: Bacteria; Fusobacteriati; Fusobacteriota.